UGAUAUGCGAUGAAGCGGAAGGUUGCUGACAGUUGGUCAGGUAAUUUCCGUGGAGUAUGUCCGAUUUUAAACCGGGCGACUG
Molecule: regulatory RNA element, 82 nt
Organism: Ruminococcus sp. CAG:57
Lineage: Bacteria; Bacillati; Bacillota; Clostridia; Eubacteriales; Oscillospiraceae
Rfam family: S10-Clostridia ribosomal protein leader
Source: Rfam